GCUGGGUGGGGUGGCACAUGCCUGCAGUUCUAGCUACUUGACAAGCUGAGGAGAGAGGAUCACUUGAGCCCAGGAGUUCAAGAUCAGCCUCAGCAAUAAAUUGAGACCCCCUUCUCAA
Molecule: small RNA, 118 nt
Filed under: Marmota monax (woodchuck)
Lineage: Eukaryota; Metazoa; Chordata; Mammalia; Rodentia; Sciuridae
Source: RNAcentral